This 253-nucleotide ribosomal RNA is filed under the name uncultured bacterium. RNAcentral describes it as "partial 16S ribosomal RNA". It matches the Rfam family "Bacterial small subunit ribosomal RNA", at positions 524 to 776 of the family's 1533-position model. The record is from RNAcentral.
UACGGAGGGUGCAAGCGUUAUCCGGAUUCACUGGGUUUAAAGGGUGCGUAGGCGGACAGGUAAGUCAGUGGUGAAAUCUCUGGGCUUAACCCAGAAACUGCCGUUGAUACUAUUUGUCUUGAAUAUCCUGGAGGUAGGCGGAAUAUGUCAUGUAGCGGUGAAAUGCUUAGAUAUGACAUAGAACACCAAUUGCGAAGGCAGCUCGCUACACAUAUAUUGACUCUGAGGCACGAAAGCGUGGGGAUCAAACAGG